GUCAGCUUGUCACUCUUUGAGAUGUUUGAAUUGGGCUGAGGCAGUGGAGAGCUAUUCAGAAUUAUGGGCAAGUCUUGUUGGUUAUUAUGUUAUUGUUGUACAAGCAUAUUUUGUAUGUAAUGAAAUGUUGUCGAUGAAUCGAAAUGGAUAUACUGUGUAAAAGUGUUAGAAGAUCUCUCUUAUUUGGAAUUUCAGAAUGUUAAGUCUAGUUUAUGAUGAUAUGAACUUGUGGUGAAUAAUUGGAGUUCUGAUUGUAUAAUUUAUUUAGCUUGUGGAUUUAUAAAUGUUGUUCAUGUUUGUCAAGUUGGCUUGGGUUGCCAUAAAUGUGAAUUAUCGAGUGAUGUGAUAUAUGAUUAUAAACUGCACAGGUUUUAUAGAUAUGAAUUUGAUAGAACGUUUUUCAGUGUCCUCAAAUGUUAGUUUGGAUCCUGGAUUAGUUUGUGAUGAAAAUUUUAAUAUCAUGGUUAUUAUUUAAGGGGGCGUGACAGAGGUGGUAUCAGAGCAUGGUUUGAGGAUCACCGAAAUAUUUGAUAUGUUGACAUGCAAAAUAUAUUGAGGUCUAAUGAACUAUAGUGAUUGGUGGAAAUUUUCUUUGAUGCAUUUUAGGAAUCUGGGAUGAUGAGGACAUUUGGUCCUCCUAUUUCAUUUGUUUCUGAUUAACUAAGGGGAAUGAAAGGAUUGAUCGGGGAUUUUGAAUCAGAGUGGCGCAGCAGAAGCAUGAUGAACCUAAUUUCAUUGGUGGUAGAAAAA
This 750-nucleotide long non-coding RNA is filed under the name Musa acuminata (dwarf banana). RNAcentral's name for it is "long non-coding RNA (MACU_LNC005253)". Lineage: Eukaryota; Viridiplantae; Streptophyta; Magnoliopsida; Zingiberales; Musaceae. The record is from RNAcentral.